This is a non-coding RNA of Anas platyrhynchos (mallard), 3975 nucleotides long. The record is from RefSeq and is a predicted model, not a curated record. NCBI's taxonomy places the organism in Eukaryota, Metazoa, Chordata, Aves, Anseriformes, Anatidae.
UGAGGACAGGACCUUCCUAUGCCUACCAGCCAGCAACUGAAGGAGAAGUCUGUGUGAGUUCAUGGCUUGUGGUGAGGGAAAAACCUCCUGACCUCCUCGCUGCAGUGCUGGGUGUCUGUCUGCCUCCUGGGGAGGUUCGAACCUAGAAGAGAAAUAUGCUGGAGAGAUCUUUAUUGUAAGAACAGGCAGCAGGAGCACACUUGCCAUCCCUGCGCAGCUCCGGGCUGUCGGUAGGAUCUCGAUGUGGCUGCAGUUUGGGGUCCAUCCUGGCGGAACUGGCUGGGGACCCAGAGCUGCCUCCCUGCUGCUCGUGGACACCAUCAGCAGGGUUUGAGUUGGGCUGACACCCACGCCUUCACACCAGCUUGGCAAGGAGCAGACAGGACCCUGGUAUUCUGGGGAUGCUCUGCUCCUGGCAGACUGGGAUGCAUUUCCUUGGGGAGAGCAGCUGGCUUGUUCCUCUUGGUGUCAGGAAGCUGGGUGAAGUGAGUGCCCUGCCACCAGCUGGGCACUCACAGAGAACUCACUGGAUGCAAUGGGGAAGGUGCAAGGAUCUUGCUCACUUCCACACAGCAAGGCAAGCUGAGUUGCAUGCCACAGCCAAACGAGUGCUUCUGAGCUCCUGCAGGCACUAAAGGAAAGAGCCUGGCUCAGAAAAAAUGUGAUGAAGCCAAGCUCAGACACUAGCACAGCUCUGGCUUCUCCUUCAGAUCAGUGCCUUAGCCAUCAUCCCAGUCCUGAGGACAGCUCAGUGCCUCUGUCUGUCACCCCACUGUCCUUCCAGUAGCACCUGUGGCUGGUUAUCACGCUGGAACUCCCCAGCCUUGGGCAUCCUCCUUUCCCCUUCUGAUGCAGGCUGAGAUGUGGAGCAGCUUGUGGUGGAAGAGCACAGAUGGGGGCAGCGGGAGGUGUUCAGCUUGCUGAGCGCAGGGAAUAGAUCGGUGUUUGGGAGUGAAGAUUUUCUUUGGCAAACACAGAAAGCACGUUAUCUGCUGUGCAAAAAGGUGAAUGCAAACCGGGCCAGCUAUUUCAGCAGGGAGCUGUACACAGCCACCACAGCUGCACUAGCAUCCGGUCACAGAAGUGAGAAGCCCUUGGUUCUGCAGAGCAAUGAUGAGGUGUGCUGGUGUGAAGAGCAUCCCUCAGCACCAGGGACAGGCAGCGAGGAUCCGGGUCAGUGUGAUGGGAAGGCUGUGGUGACUCUGCUCUGGCUGCAUUUCAAAGGCAUCACUGGCACAGAAAGGAACAAAGCAUACUUUUUUUAAGCUGACAGUGAACAGAGAAGGCUGCAGAACUGAAAGCACUGAAGUUGAAGGAUGGUGUCUCAGCAAAGGGCCAAAACUAUCUUCGACUUCAAGCUUAAGCUCCUAUUAGGCAAAGAAAAUACAGCACAGAUAAUGCUUAUGUAGCACCUCUCAUGCAAACAUCCCAGCACACUUAACAAUCAAACUCAAACACAAUCAAUCAUGGAGAUGUGAGCAGCAUUCACCAAGGAAAACAGAGCAAGCAAGGCUUGGAAAGGAGGGGUGCCACAACCACUGAGAGCCCGUGGUUUCUAAAUGGUUUCCAUCUGGAAAGUGCCUUGUGGAUGGAGAGAGCUGGGGUAGAUGGACCCCAGGGUGAAAAGCAGGCAGAUAAUGAUGGACAAGCAGAUGCCACCGGGUUGUAGGUAUUGUUCUGAGACAGGAGGGCAAGCUGGGAAGACGGGGAGGUCUCCCAGGUCCAGACGGGUGCCUUACAGGGGUAUCUCAGACCCAUCAAGUGUGCAACCACAGGCAGUGUGCUCUGAAGGGCACCUGUUGUCCUUGUCUCCUCCUGAUUCCAAGUGAGGAUGAGGUGCAAGUUGUGCCUGCGUGCUACCACAUCCAUGGCAAAGAGACUGAGCUGUGUGGGCAGGCAUCUAUCUGUGAUUGCAACAGAGUAGUGGACCCAGAAAUCAUACUAUGACUGAGCAAAAUGUCACUCAGACAAAAAGGUCUGGCAAGAGCUGUGAAGGGUCAGGGUCUCUCUCCACUAACUGCAUGCUGAGGUUAGGUGACUGUUUCCAGAUUCUCAAUUCUGCAGAAGGCAUCCAUGCCAUAGUCUUGCAUGAGAAAGGCAGGUUUCCUUGCAAUCAAAGUGAAAUGGAUGAUUAAUACAAUUGCUAGAACUAGAUGAGUUAUUUUUUUAAGUAACGUAAUUAUUUUAAAUAAUUAAGAACAACUCAGUGUCAUUGUUCUUGCUCCAAUGAAUAAUGGAACACCUGCUAAAACAUGGAACUUUAUGACCAUGAAAGAUUCCCUCCAAUCUGAUGCGGCUCAGGAGCAAGGACACUCUCAAGGCAUAUUUGAUCUCAUUUCAGACCUCUGCUCAGGAUGCUGUGAUUUCCAUGUUGCAUGUCCAAAUAAUUGCCCAAAGCUUUGGGCAACUGGGCAUGCAGGGGCAAUGCUCACCAACUUUGUCUGGGGCCUUGGUUCAAAUUAAACACUUUCUUCAAACGGGGAGGAAAAAAAAAAACAAUGGUCUUCAUCAAAUAGUCUGGAAGUAUUCAGCUUGAAUCAGGCAGUGACUUGGUGAGCUUAAGGAAAAAGGUAUGAAAAAAGGAAAGGACAGCCAGUUUUGUUAUACCUGAGCAAUUAAUUCAGUUAGCUAUUGUUUAUAGCUGUCAAAUACUAAUUUGCUGUCUGUGAGAACAUUUUGGGAACCUUCUACGAUUGCCCUAGAAUAAACCCCAUUUCCUGGUUAUGAGUAAAAGCAUUUUCUGCAGUUUUGAAAUAUCUAAAUUCUGCUUCUGUUUUUUUGUGUUUUUUUUUUUUUUUUUUUUUUUUUUUUUACUUUUAAUGAGGGAACUACACUUGGUUCCUCAAAAGGACUGUUGGCCUUGGCCGGUGCAUGUGGCAGCAUAUACGUGGUAUGAAAGUACAGAUCCAGUCUAAAUCUGCAGGACACCUGGAACCCAGUUGAGCUUUGCUCACUGCACUUGCUAGAAUUGAUGAUUUAUAGAGAUAAUCCUCAGACAUUUCAAGCUGGGCUGAAGACAGACAAAUUUCCAGCCCAUGCCAUCAAUUCCAUUCAUCUGGAACAGGUGCCAAGCUUAUGAAAUCCUCCUGCAAUGUGGUAGACACCACAGUAUGCUUCAUUAACAGCCAACCAAGCAACUUGCCAUCUCCAGCUCACAGGCACUGAAAACAAUCUGGAGAUCAGAGACCCAAACCUGUGAAGCAAAGAAGGAAAAGUUUCAAAGGCAGCUGGACUCCCACAGGAGGGGAUUUAGGCAGACAAUGCUGGACUCUGUGAAACCUGCUCCCAGACCCUGUUAUCCUCACUCAUUUGAGUGAACGCAGCUGUCUGUCUUUUCUAAUUCAGGGGUACAAUGCUGUGGCUAGAAGUGCUAGACGUGGCCAUGUCAGUCUUGUUAAAAACAACAUACAAUAAAUUGCCAAAUGCCAUUUACCCUGGAUAACCUUCUUAGCUGAAACUGUCCAUAUCUACUGCAGUUGCUUGUGCGUCAGUCGACUUUGAUGUAUCCUUCUGCUCUUUCAGCCCAGAUGUUGUCAUAGAUUUGCUGACGAUGACUGCAAAAAGGCUUUGAAAUGCACUCUGGCAAGAAAUACUUUCCCAUCCUGUCUCAGAUAGGGUCUGCUUUCUUUUCACCUCACAUUUUUUAUUACUAAGGCCAUUCAGAUGAAUAAAGGCUCUUUGUUCAUUUAGCAAUUUCUCUGCUUGCUGAUGGUGUUUUAUUUUCCAAAACAUAAGUUGAAAUGACAUCUGCAGCAGCUCAAUAGAUGAAGCAGGUCUCAAACACCAUAGUGACAGACUGCCUGUGCCUGGGCACUGUUGCUCUCAGCAGUAUGAACAGUGCAGGAGUCUUACCAGAAACACUCUUCAAGCACAGAAAAAAAAAGUUCAAAAGUUACAUGUUAGGAUGUUUGAGAAUGCUCUGAAAUUCUCUCUCACAUACUAUGGAAAGAUAUUCUCUUUAAGGGAAGCUGUGCA